UCGAGAAUCUUCGGCAAUGGGCGAAAGCCUGACCGAGCGAUGCCGCGUGCGGGAUGAAGGCCUUCGGGUUGUAAACCGCUGUCAGUUGGGAGGAAAUCUAUGAGGGUCAUCCCUCAUAGUUGACCUAUCUUCAGAGGAAGGACGGGCUAAGUUCGUGCCAGCAGCCGCGGUAAGACGAACCGUCCAAACGUUAUUCGGAAUCACUGGGCUUAAAGGGUGCGUAGGCGGCGCGGUCAGUCGGAUGUGAAAUCGUACAGCUCAACUGUACAACUGCGUCCGAUACUACCGUGCUUGAGGAAGGCAGAGGUGAGCGGAACUCAGGGUGGAGCGGUGAAAUGCGUUGAUAUCCUGGGGAACACCGGUGGCGAAGGCGGCUCACUGGGCCUUUUCUGACGCUGAGGCACGAAAGCUAGGGUAGCGAACAGGAUUAGAUACCCCCGUAGUCC
This 446-nucleotide ribosomal RNA is filed under the name uncultured prokaryote. Its description in RNAcentral is "bacterial SSU rRNA". It matches the Rfam family "Bacterial small subunit ribosomal RNA", at positions 355 to 796 of the family's 1533-position model. The record is from RNAcentral.